Molecule: ribosomal RNA, 208 nt
Filed under: uncultured bacterium
Lineage: Bacteria
Description: partial 16S ribosomal RNA
Rfam family: Bacterial small subunit ribosomal RNA
Source: RNAcentral
CGCGCAGGCGGCCAGGUCAGUCUCGUGUGAAAUCCCUCGGCUCAACUGAGGAAUUGCACGGGAAACUGCCUGGCUUGAGUUCGGGAGAGGGAAGCGGAAUUCCGGGUGUAGCGGUGAAAUGCGCAGAUAUCCGGAGGAACACCAGUGGCGAAGGCGGCUUCCUGGACCGUGACUGACGCUGAGGCGCGAAAGCUAGGGGAGCGAAACG